Molecule: long non-coding RNA, 1003 nt
Organism: Cydia splendana
Lineage: Eukaryota; Metazoa; Arthropoda; Insecta; Lepidoptera; Tortricidae
Exons: 3
Source: RefSeq, a predicted model, not a curated record
UGAGGUCAGGUAAAACAAUUUCAUUGUCUUUCAGAUUUCCAAAAAAUCCCGAAAUUAAAACAAAAUGGAUUGACGCCACGCACCGUGGACAGUUAUGGUACCCAUGUAAUACGAGUGUCAUUUGCUCAAGGCACUUCACUGCAGAUAAUUUCCAUCAAGUAACGAGCCAGCGGAGACGAUUAUUGAGUUCUGCAGUACCAACUCUAUAUUUACCGGUUUUGAUUGAGGAUAUAACUCAGCAACAUGACAACUCAGCAGUAGCAGUUCAAAUACCGCAAAACAUUGGCUGUGAUGUCCAUGAUGAAGGCACAUUUAAAAAAGAGGAUGGCUCUACUCUGCAGGGUUCAGUGUUAACAACAUCCCAAGAGCAGAAUACUGUGUCACAAACACCUACCACGAAGCGAGAAGUAUGCAGAGUCCGGGACCCUGAAUCACCAUCUGCUUAUAAUUCUCCUGUCGAAAAACGACUUUCUCGAAGAAUCAUGGAACUUAAGUGCAAAGUAAAUGAAAAAAAUGUUAAAUUGCGAAAGUUGCGUGAUUCAAACAGGAGAUUAAAACGAGAGAUCAUUUCACUGAAAUCUCUUUUAGAAGAUUUACAAUAGAGAUCAUUUCACUGAAAUCUCUUUUAGGAGAAAAGAAAAAUCAAUUACCUUAGCUCUGGUCAUCAUCAUCAUCAGGCCAUAUUAGUCCACUGCUGGACAUAGCCCUCCCCUAAAGAGCGCCAAAGCGCCCUGUCUUCAGCUUGCCGCAUCCAGCAUCUGCCUGCAGUCUUUCGCAGAUCGUCAUCCCACCUGGUCGGAGGGCGUCCUACACUACGUUUGCCGAGUCGCGGUCUCCACUCAAGAACACGUUUACCCCAGCGGUUGUCGGUUCUUCUUGAGAUAUGGCCAGCCCACUGCCACUUCAGCUUGCUAAUUCUUUGAGCUAUGUCGGUAACUUUGGUUCUCUGUCGGAUGUAUUCGUUACGAAUCCUAUCCUUCAGAGAAACCCCGAGCAUAGCUCU